Molecule: long non-coding RNA, 515 nt
Organism: Cryptomeria japonica (Japanese cedar)
Lineage: Eukaryota; Viridiplantae; Streptophyta; Pinopsida; Cupressales; Cupressaceae
Exons: 3
Source: RefSeq, a predicted model, not a curated record
AACUCUCCUCCUGGUUGUGAUAUCGUUCGAAACCGGAGAAUGAACAUAUCUUUAGGAUGUACCGUUCUGCACUUUGUAUGCGCUCUAGUUAAGCAGUUUGGUAGGACCAGACAUGAAUGAAUCGUCCAUUAAUGCUGUUUUAAAUAAUAGGCCCUCAUGGUCUGUCCUUUAGAAGGGCAAGAUAUGGCAAGAUUUUCGGUGUAUUUGGAAGAGUACGCACCUGCAAAAUAUUUUGAAGCAGAGCCAAGGACAAGAUCUUCUCAGAACUGUAUGGAGGAAUAUGACGACAAUUUUGAAGAAGGGCAUUAGAUUUUCCUAACCUUAAUCACCUUUUCCCCCUUUUUAUAGUUCCUUAUUUACCUUUCUAUGGUAUUAGAAAUAAUUUCAAUAAUAAAUAUUGGUUUUGAGAUUAUUAUUAUUAUUAUUCUAAUUUUAUAUAAACUAUAUGCUUAUAUUUUGUUACACAUAUUUGUAUACGUAAAUGAAUAAUCAAAAUAUAAUUAAUACUAAAUAUA